AAAAGUGGAAGGGCUAAAGUUGCAAUUAGCCCUUCCAAUAGAAACACGCGGACCCUAGCCUUGGAGCGGGUCGGAUCGCAUGUCGGCCCUUUACUAAAACGGCGCCGUUUCAUUUUGUUAUAAAAGCCAAAAAAAAUUUAGAAAAUCUCAUUUUAAACCUUUAUUCCAAAAAAAACAACAAAAACCCUCUCAAUGUUUCUUCUCCCC
This 207-nucleotide long non-coding RNA is filed under the name Gossypium raimondii (Peruvian cotton). RNAcentral's name for it is "long non-coding RNA (GRAI_LNC004823)". Lineage: Eukaryota; Viridiplantae; Streptophyta; Magnoliopsida; Malvales; Malvaceae. The record is from RNAcentral.